UUCUACUGAGCCACCAAGGAUGUGUCUGGAGUACAGAGAAGACUUUUAGUGCUGAAUGUUAAUGAUUUAUUCAUGAUCCUAUGUGUGCUUUCAAAUUAGGCAGCACUUUCUAGCAGACCUGAUGGUGUGGCUGGUUCUUGUGUGCUCAUCUCCAUGAGAGAGAAACCUCUCCUGCUCUCAUGCUUUUGCGGUCCAGAGUACAUGGAUUUUGAGGUGAAAGUUCACUGAAGUUCUGGUGAAGCUAUGAAUUCAAGAAAGCUGUUGUUCCUAUUGCUGAUCUGAAGGAUGAGUCCUUAUUCAAGAGCUUUUGGCAUUCACGUUUCUAUUAUACUCAAGUGGAAUACUGAAAUGUCCAUUUUCCAAUGGCUACAGAAAUAUCUUAGAACAGCUAGACAAAGUUACUAUGUCUAUGAACAGUACUCUUGAAGGUAACAACUCUGCCUAAAAUUCAGGAGCUGCAUCAGGAAGUUGCAUAAGAUUUAAAAGCUGCAGCGUUUGACAGUGGUCCACAAAUUGUGACAGGUAAGCUUUUUUCAGGGCACACAGGAAUUCAAAGUUAACUUAACUAUAAAAUUGGCUGAUGUAUUUGGUUACCAAUUUGGUCAAGUUAGCAAUUUGGCUUAGUCUUUAUUCACAAUGCUUUUAGGGGAAAAAGUAACAGAGAAAUUUUUGUACUGUAAUUUGGCUAAGUGUGUCUGAGCUAGAAUGAAAUUUGCUUUGCAUACACUUUCCCAGUUUGAACAAUUAUACUCUUCAAGUCUGAAUGAAGUCAGCAGUAUCAUUUGUCGACCCACCUGGAGGAGGUGACCUGCUGGGGUCUGUUGACUUUCCUGGAAUAGCCGGGGUAGGCUGGAAGUGGGAUGGUGACCUGCAGACCAAGACUUUUGGUGGAAUAUAAUCUUUUGUGUUGACUUUUGCUUGACAUUAGAGGUGGUAGUGCCAUUCAUUUACAUAUUUCUGUUAAGUAAGCAGAUGGUUCUUGUGUUACCUUAGCCUUGUGUGGCAUAAUCAUGGGUACUGUGGAUAUGUGUGAGAAUAUGAAAGGAAUGACUGCCAUAACUUGGAGGGACAAGAGGUGCAAUGUUUAUUACGCAAUAUAGAAAAACCAGCUAUGCCUGGAUCCCUCAAACUAGAUUUGAACAGGUGAAAUUCCUUCCAUUGCUGUAACUCCGUACACUUCCAACAACAGCCUAGGGAAUUAAAUCUAAAAGGAAAAAAAAAUUAGAAUGUAAUACAAUGAAAACUGUGAGAGG
RNAcentral lists this long non-coding RNA (1253 nucleotides) under Numida meleagris (helmeted guineafowl). RNAcentral describes it as "lncRNA (ENSNMEG00000018315.1)". Lineage: Eukaryota; Metazoa; Chordata; Aves; Galliformes; Numididae. The record is from RNAcentral.